Mercurialis annua (annual mercury) is the source of this 689-nucleotide long non-coding RNA. RefSeq lists it as uncharacterized. The record is from RefSeq and is a predicted model, not a curated record. NCBI's taxonomy places the organism in Eukaryota, Viridiplantae, Streptophyta, Magnoliopsida, Malpighiales, Euphorbiaceae. The transcript has 3 exons.
UUCAAUCAUCUUCUUCAUUUUCUUGUGGGUGCCGAACACACCAUAGAUCAAAACACAAAGCUUUACACUUUCAUUUUCUCUCAAAACUUUCUUCACGAAAAUUGUCGGGAAUAUUGCGUAGAUCGUGUAGGUGUAUUUGCAUGUUGAAUCAAGAUCCAGCGAGUUUUGUCGCGGAAACCGGCGAGCAAAGGUUUUGAUAUUCGACGGGUGAUAUUUUUUUAAUAUUUGGAAUAAGCGAGUACUGCGAGUAGUUUGACGUGUGGAUUUCCAAUUUCUUGUUCCGGAAAUCCCUGACUUGAAUAAAGUGAGAAUGACUUCCCUUUAUGUGUCUAGAGUUGCAGUAGCUAGAAUAAUGAACGGUGAUACCUUAGUAGUCGUUGGACUUAUUUAUGCUUUAUAUUUUAUAACGCUAAACUCUGAUAAUAUGUAAUAUGUGAAUGCUGUGCGAAAGUCCGAGCGACUGCACUUGAAUAAAAUGUGGCGAACGCAUCUGCAUAGUGAAAUGCAGUUAAGUCCAUUAGAGAAAUGGCCUGCAUAGUGAAAUGCAGUUAAGUCCAUUAGAGAAAUGGCCUGCAUAGUGAAAUGCAGUAAUUACCAUAGUAAGAUGGUAUGCACCUGAGAUGCAUGAUAAACCAUAGAGAAAUGGUUUUGAAACUAAAAUGCAAUAAUUAAAGAGAAAAUUAUGUGCA